This 104-nucleotide ribosomal RNA is filed under the name Escherichia coli. RNAcentral describes it as "partial 16S ribosomal RNA". It matches the Rfam family "Bacterial small subunit ribosomal RNA", at positions 1 to 97 of the family's 1533-position model. Lineage: Bacteria; Pseudomonadati; Pseudomonadota; Gammaproteobacteria; Enterobacterales; Enterobacteriaceae. The record is from RNAcentral.
AAAUUGCAGAGUUUGAUCAUGGCUCAGAUUGAACGCUGGCGGCAUUCUUAACACAUGCAAGUCGAACGGUAACAGGAAGCAGCUUUUUGCUUUGCUGUUGAGUG